RNAcentral lists this ribosomal RNA (610 nucleotides) under uncultured bacterium. RNAcentral describes it as "bacterial SSU rRNA". It matches the Rfam family "Bacterial small subunit ribosomal RNA", at positions 74 to 681 of the family's 1533-position model. The record is from RNAcentral.
GAGAGCUUGCUCUUGAUGACGAGUGGCGCACGGGUGCGUAACGCGUAUGCAAUCUACCCUUUACUGGAGAAUAGCCCUUGGAAACGAGGAAUAAUACUCCAUAGUAUAACAAUUUCGCAUGUUAUUGUUAUUAAAGCUUCGGCGGUAAAGGAUGAGCAUGCGUCCCAUUAGUUAGUUGGUAAGGUAACGGCUUACCAAGACAUCGAUGGGUAGGGGGCCUGAGAGGGUUAUCCCCCACACUGGUACUGAGACACGGACCAGACUCCUACGGGAGGCAGCAGUGAGGAAUAUUGGUCAAUGGACGAAAGUCUGAACCAGCCAUGCCGCGUGCAGGAUGACUGCCCUAUGGGUUGUAAACUGCUUUUAUAUAGGAAGAAACCCUCGAACGUGUUCGAGGCUGACGGUACUAUAAGAAUAAGGACCGGCUAACUCCGUGCCAGCAGCCGCGGUAAUACGGAGGGUCCAAGCGUUAUCCGGAUUUAUUGGGUUUAAAGGGUACGUAGGCGGAGUUUUAAGUCAGUAGUGAAAGCCCAUCGCUUAACGAUGGAAUUGCUAUUGAUACUGAUACUCUUGAAUAUAGUUGAAGUGGGCGGAAUACGGCAUGUAGCGU